Long non-coding RNA from Gallus gallus (chicken), 957 nucleotides. Lineage: Eukaryota; Metazoa; Chordata; Aves; Galliformes; Phasianidae. The record is from Ensembl.
UGCGUGCUGACUAGAGCUUGGAAAGCUGUUCCAAGCAUGAGAGAAGGUGUGGGAGAUGGUGCAGAAAUGCCUCUGUGAUGAGGGAAUGAAGGGGAAUGCAAGGCAUUAAAGGAUGUGUCUUUUUGGCUACUGCUCUGCUGCAGCUGAAACUUUCCCAAAACUCACAGCUAAGCAGUUCAGUGUGUGUUGCGUGGGACAGCUACAGAAUUCCAAUUACUGCAACGGUAACACAAGCCAAUAUCCUGAAUCCCAGGCUUGUGACCAGCCACCAAACCGGUACCCAAAGGACAGGAGUGGUCCAAGCAGCAGUAGCAAAUGUCAUCUCCCACUAAACCUGCCCAGAGGAAAAUGGAGAAGUAUACUCAAAGAUGGUGUUUGCCUACCUCACAGUGCAAAGCAAAGUCUCAGUGACAUGACUCCACAUUUUUAUUUUGCACUUCAGAUUGUCUCAAAUAUUUCCAGUGGAUGGUAAAUGCUGUCUUCUGUAACAAGUUCUCCUGAAGCCUUACUUGAUCAUGAUUACAAGGUAAAUCUCAUAAUCAGAGACUCUUCUAAAUGCUGAAGGAUUGCUGGGGUUCAGAAGGAUCUAUCUCAGCUUAUAUGUAACUCAAUUUCAAACGAGGAUCAAUAUUCUUCAUAAAUAUCCUAAAACUUACUCCGGUCAGUGGAUAAAACUUUUCUAGAGAAGAAAGUAUACUUUUGUUGUUAUAGAAUUUGAAAAAGAACAUGAACUUAGAAGGGUUUCAGUCUCCUUUUGAGAGGGAAGUUCUUUAGAAGUUAUGGAAAAUAGACUUUCUUGAAAAUACAUUUCUAUACAAAAGGAACGUCAAGUAUUUCUGAAAAUGUGAGAAUAGAGAAAGAGAACAUUUUCCCAGAGCUGCAAAUCACUGGAGGCUGCCUUCCAGGAGAAGAAACUUGAUGUUCCCACUGGGAGCUGACCCCACAUGUGACUCUCGG